AGUGAACGCUGGCGGUAGGCCUAACACAUGCAAGUCGAACGGCAGCACAGUAAGAGCUUGCUCUUACGGGUGGCGAGUGGCGGACGGGUGAGGAAUACAUCGGAAUCUACUUUUUCGUGGGGGAUAACGUAGGGAAACUUACGCUAAUACCGCAUACGACCUACGGGUGAAAGCAGGGGAUCUUCGGACCUUGCGCGAUUGAAUGAGCCGAUGUCGGAUUAGCUAGUUGGUGGGGUAAAGGCCCACCAAGGCGACGAUCCGUAGCUGGUCUGAGAGGAUGAUCAGCCACACUGGAACUGAGACACGGUCCAGACUCCUACGGGAGGCAGCAGUGGGGAAUAUUGGACAAUGGGCGCAAGCCUGGUCCAGCCAUACCGCGUGGGUGAAGAAGGCCUUCGGGUUGUAAAGCCCUUUUGUUGGGAAAGAAAAGCAGCAGGUUAAUACCCCGCUGUUCUGACGGUACCCAAAGAAUAAGCACCGGCUAACUUCGUG
This 492-nucleotide ribosomal RNA is filed under the name uncultured bacterium. RNAcentral's name for it is "partial 16S ribosomal RNA". It matches the Rfam family "Bacterial small subunit ribosomal RNA", at positions 29 to 507 of the family's 1533-position model. The record is from RNAcentral.